AUCGCUUCUCGGCCUUUUGGCUAAGAUCAAGUGUAGUAUCAAUGCUGAUUUAUGAUGAUCCACACCUAUAUCGUGUUAUAAACAAGU
This 87-nucleotide small nuclear RNA is filed under the name Sorex araneus (European shrew). RNAcentral's name for it is "U2 spliceosomal RNA (ENSSARG00000019568.1)". The stretch from base 1 to 70 matches the Rfam family "U2 spliceosomal RNA". From Rfam's summary of the family: U2 is a small nuclear RNA (snRNA) component of the spliceosome (involved in pre-mRNA splicing). Complementary binding between U2 snRNA (in an area lying towards the 5' end but 3' to hairpin I) and the branchpoint sequence (BPS) of the intron results the bulging out of an unpaired adenosine, on the BPS, which initiates a nucleophilic attack at the intronic 5' splice site, thus starting the first of two transesterification reactions that mediate splicing. The record is from RNAcentral. Lineage: Eukaryota; Metazoa; Chordata; Mammalia; Eulipotyphla; Soricidae.